ACUCAAAGGAAUAGACGGGGGCCCGCACAAGCGGCGGAGCAUGCGGAUUAAUUCGAUGCAACGCGAAGAACCUUACCAAGGCUUGACAUGAACCGGAAACGCCUGGAAACAGGUGCCCCGCUUGCGGUCGGUUUACAGGUGGUGCAUGGUUGUCGUCAGCUCGUGUCGUGAGAUGUUGGGUUAAGUCCCGCAACGAGCGCAACCCUCGUUCUAUGUUGCCAGCACUUCGGGUGGGGACUCAUAGGAGACUGCCGGGGUCAACUCGGAGGAAGGUGGGGACGACGUCAAAUCAUCAUGCCCCUUAUGUCUUGGGCUUCACGCAUGCUACAAUGGCCGGUACAAAGGGUUGCGAUACUGUGAGGUGGAGCUAAUCCCAAAAAGCCGGUCUCAGUUCGGAUUGGGGUCUGCAACUCGACCCCAUGAAGUCGGAGUCGCUAGUAAUCGCAGAUCAGCAACGCUGCGGUGAAUACGUUCCCGGGCCUUGUACACACCGCCCGU
RNAcentral lists this ribosomal RNA (498 nucleotides) under uncultured bacterium. Its description in RNAcentral is "partial 16S ribosomal RNA". It matches the Rfam family "Bacterial small subunit ribosomal RNA", at positions 899 to 1397 of the family's 1533-position model. The record is from RNAcentral.